RNAcentral lists this ribosomal RNA (33 nucleotides) under Tomentella stuposa. RNAcentral describes it as "partial 28S ribosomal RNA". The record is from RNAcentral. Lineage: Eukaryota; Fungi; Basidiomycota; Agaricomycetes; Thelephorales; Thelephoraceae.
AUUUGAUCUCAAAUCAGGUAGGACUACCCGCUG